UGUUGUUGGGCCGAAGGCUGAGGCCAGUUCCGAUCCUGAGAGAAAAAAUGGGUCAGAAGUUGUGCAAAAAGAGACAAAAUGGAGCCGUGGAGGGAGCUCCUGGAAAGGCCCCAAUGCCUUGUGUAUCCCAGAGCAGCAAAAGGAAAUGGAGGGUCCUUGAGGCACUUCAGAUAGGUUUGCCCUGCCUUGCCUCGUGUUCUGGGAACCCUCAAGGGUUUUUCAAUGGGCAUGGAGGGCCCUCCAUGUUUGUGAGGAGGAACCCCCAUGUCAUUUUUGCAGGGGGAAUUGCAGUAGCCGCCCCCCCCCCGCAGCAGGGGUGGUGUUUCUCCUGGGCUGUGUGUGUGUGAUGUGGGGAAAAAAUGCUCCUCAAGUCCCUCGUUGCCCCGAGAGGGGAAAAACAACAGAGGAAGCCAUGACGGCUGCUGAGCCCCCUCUUUCCCCUGAGAGAGACCCCUCUUCUGGCAGCAGUAGGGCAGGGCCCCCCAAGCGGGGGAACUGCCUGGCCUGGAUCUGGACCCAAGCCAUCGUAAGGUCCAGCCACCUCAACCGUCGGGACCUGAGAUGGACCGGCGGGCCCCUUGGGACGACCCAAGGCUGCCCCAGCACAAUGAGGAAGCCAUGGACGGAGCCUGAAAGCCACAGAAGCAACAACAAAGGUAGGAAACUGUCUCCAGUGGGUUGAAAGAAUCUCCAAAGGAGGACAGGUAAGCAGGGCUUGGGCUGGAUGGGAGGGUAAAAUUUUGGUCUGUGGGAUGUUUCGUGUAGGGAGUAUGAUCUUCUUAGUGGAAGUGGAGGUUAUGUGUUGUUUUGUGUGUAUGCGGCAAUUGGGCUGUGUGCGUGCAAAAAGUAGUUUCAUGCACCUUACUUGUCUGUGCCUUACUUUUUCUCCUCGUUUAGAACCUUUUCUUUUUAUUGAUUUUUAAUGCAUUACUGAUAGAACUGUGGGGAAAGGAGAAAAAAGAGAAAUCCCACGACAGUUGGGUUUGAUUUUCACAGUAACAAUAGUAGUCCUGGUUAGACUUCCGCCAAGCUCUUUGAGUAGAUUUUGUUCAAUAAUGUGCCUUUGCUUGACUUUCUCUUGACUUGAAAGUAGCAUA
RNAcentral lists this long non-coding RNA (1097 nucleotides) under Pogona vitticeps (central bearded dragon). RNAcentral's name for it is "lncRNA (ENSPVIG00000020656.1)". The record is from RNAcentral. Lineage: Eukaryota; Metazoa; Chordata; Lepidosauria; Squamata; Agamidae.